UACAGAGGUGGCAAGCGUUGUUCGGAAUUACUGGGCGUAAAGGGCGCGUAGGCGGCCUUCUAAGUCAGACGUGAAAUCCCCGGGCUUAACCUGGGAAUGGCAUUUGGGACUGCAAGGCUCGAGUGCGGCAGAGGAGACUGGAAUUCCUGGUGUAGCGGUGAAAUGCGCAGAUAUCAGGAGGAACACCGGUGGCGAAGGCGGGUCUCUGGGCCGAUAUCGACGCUGAGGAGCGAAAGCGUGGGGAGCGAACAGG
RNAcentral lists this ribosomal RNA (253 nucleotides) under uncultured bacterium. RNAcentral describes it as "partial 16S ribosomal RNA". It matches the Rfam family "Bacterial small subunit ribosomal RNA", at positions 524 to 776 of the family's 1533-position model. The record is from RNAcentral.